AACUUUCAACAACGGAUCUCUUGGUUCUCCCAUCGAUGAAGAACGCAGCGAAACGCGAUAGGUAAUGUGAAUUGCAGAAUUCCGUGAAUCAUCGAAUCUUUGAACGCACCUUGCGCUCCAUGGCAUUCCGUGGAGCAUGCCUGUUUGAGUGCCGCGAAAUCUCCCACCCCUAGCGGUUGCCGCAAGGCGCCGCCGGGCGGCGGGGUUGGUUGGGUGCCGCUGCCUGGGCUUUGGCCCAGGCUCGCCCGAAAUGCAUGAGCGCUUAGCACUCGCACCGUCUCGAGGGAAGGCGGCGGAGCUGGCAUCUGCGCAUGGCAUGAUACGUCAUUUGCUGUGUGGCAGCCCAGCGACCCGAGAGUGUGUGUGCGCUACUACACGCCCUUUCAUUUCUGGUCUCAAAUCAGGUAGGAUCACCCGCUGAACUUAAGCAUAUCAAUAAGCGGAGGCU
RNAcentral lists this unclassified non-coding RNA (448 nucleotides) under uncultured Malassezia. RNAcentral's name for it is "sequence contains ITS2". The stretch from base 1 to 154 matches the Rfam family "5.8S ribosomal RNA". The record is from RNAcentral. Lineage: Eukaryota; Fungi; Basidiomycota; Malasseziomycetes; Malasseziales; Malasseziaceae.